RNAcentral lists this ribosomal RNA (401 nucleotides) under uncultured bacterium. RNAcentral describes it as "bacterial SSU rRNA". It matches the Rfam family "Bacterial small subunit ribosomal RNA", at positions 975 to 1375 of the family's 1533-position model. The record is from RNAcentral.
CAAGGCUUGACAUAUACGAGAACGGGCCAGAAAUGGCCAACUCUUUGGACACUCGUAAACAGGUGGUGCAUGGUUGUCGUCAGCUCGCGUCGUGAGAUGUUGGGUUAAGUCCCGCAACGAGCGCAACCCUCGUUCUAUGUUGCCAGCACGUAAUGGUGGGAACUCAUGGGAUACUGCCGGGGUCAACUCGGAGGAAGGUGGGGAUGACGUCAAGUCAUCGUGCCCCUUAUGUCUUGGGCUUCACGCAUGCUACAAUGGCCGGUACAAAGGGCUGCAAUACCGCGAGGUGGAGCGAAUCCCAAAAAGCCGGUCCCAGUUCGGAUUGAGGUCUGCAACUCGACCUCAUGAAGUCGGAGUCGCUAGUAAUCGCAGAUCAUCAACGCUGCGGUGAAUACGUUCCC